CUCCAAUCGUGAUGAGAAGCUUUUAUGAUAUAGGCACCAGGCAAAAGGUUGCUCUGCUGUUUCUUAUUAAAAAGCAACAAGCAGCUGUGUAUUGACUUAAAUGCCAUCCAAAACAAAAACUUAACAAGAUUGUAAUAUAAAUGUAUCCAAGAGUAUUGAAUCAUGAAAACAUUGGCAAAAAAUAGUUUUCAUGGGUCUUCCUCUGGCAAUUUAAUCUAGGCUCCAAGCGGCAGUCAGGUCGCCAUUAAAGUGACGCCUGCUGUUGACUCGUUUAAAAAUGGAGCACAUCUUUCUUUCAACACCAUACCAAUAAAACAUAUGC
Molecule: long non-coding RNA, 322 nt
Filed under: Brassica napus (rape)
Lineage: Eukaryota; Viridiplantae; Streptophyta; Magnoliopsida; Brassicales; Brassicaceae
Description: long non-coding RNA (BNAP_LNC016667)
Source: RNAcentral